Bubalus bubalis (water buffalo) is the source of this 575-nucleotide long non-coding RNA. RefSeq lists it as uncharacterized. The record is from RefSeq and is a predicted model, not a curated record. The transcript has 4 exons. Lineage: Eukaryota; Metazoa; Chordata; Mammalia; Artiodactyla; Bovidae.
CACCAUCCCUUCCUAAGCACGACUUCCUGGUCAUCUGGGGGGCGAACCUCAUUACAUUCCAGCAUCAUCAAGGAGCAAACGUCACAAUGUGACUCCCGAGAGGGCCCCUGGCCCUGUGGGAGGGAGCGGAGUAUUAUACAGCCGUGAAAAGGAAGCAAGCACCAGCCACGUGACAGCACGAAUGACCCUCGCAAACCGUAUGCUGAGUGAAAGCAGCCAGACACAGGGGCCCAUCGGCGUGAUUCCGUCCAGAGCAGAGUCCAGACACGUUGAUUUCACAUGGUGUGAUUUUUAUCUCCAUUUUUUAAAAGAAGUUCCGAUCUGAAGCCCCUCCUCCAACUGAUGCUGGGGGCCCACAGCUUCCAGAAAACCCUCGACGUGGACACCCCUGAGGACGAGCACCCCCUGGAAACCCUCUUCGCACUGUUCGUGACUCUUAGGAUGGCGGUGCUCCUGACAAAUUUCUGGAUUCAUUAUCUACUGCCUGUCGAAGCCGCAAACCAUCACCGGGACAAUCAAAUCCCAGAUGCUUUUAUCACUCGCCAACUGCACAAGUUCGAUGUGGGCAGAGGACU